UUUCUCAAAGAGGUGCAGCAUGAGUUACAUUUCCACUUCAGAAGAAGAAAACCUGAACUGAAGAGUAAGACACAUCUUUUCUGUGUGAUGAAAGAUAGAGAGGCAUCAUCAAGAAAGAGCUGAAGCAGAGCACACUACAAGAUGAAAGGACAGUGCUGUGUUGCCUACUGAUGAAUGCAUUUCCAGCAGGUGAUGCUUGCACCCCUGACAGGGAAAAAUGAAACAUGCCAAGAAACUACUUGAAGAAAUCCAUUUUGCGAAGACAGAGGCAUCGUCAUUGUGAAGCAAAUGCAAACAGAUGGCUUCAUGAAUAAAGAAUAAUUAAAAACAGAAUAUUGGGUUUCAGGCUAUGGAUAGUGUUUAGUUUUAACAGACUAAGGACAUAAGCCUCUCCCUUACCUCUGCUGUAAUAACAAAUAUGUCAAAUUAUAUUUAACAUGAAUGUUUCAGUUGGCCUGACUCCUCUGUGGAGUUAGUACAUUCCUUUAUUAAAUAAUGAAGAAAUAGCUACUAAGCAGAAUUUGGAGAAGAAAAGCUUUCAUGGAAUAAAAAAUACAUAGUCUACUGAAGUAAAAUUGAUUUUAACACUUUUCUUCUGUAUGUUUGUUUUAUUUGGUGAU
Molecule: long non-coding RNA, 620 nt
Organism: Anas platyrhynchos (mallard)
Lineage: Eukaryota; Metazoa; Chordata; Aves; Anseriformes; Anatidae
Source: RefSeq, a predicted model, not a curated record